Molecule: ribosomal RNA, 367 nt
Filed under: Cryptocercus relictus (relict cockroach)
Lineage: Eukaryota; Metazoa; Arthropoda; Insecta; Blattodea; Cryptocercidae
Description: partial 16S large subunit ribosomal RNA
Source: RNAcentral
CUCUUCUUGAAUAUAUUUUGAUGUAUGGCCUGCCCACUGAAUAUUGAAGGGCCGCGGUAUUUUGACCGUGCAAAGGUAGCAUAAUCAUUAGUCUUUUAAUUGUAGGCUGGAAUGAAUGGUUUGACGAGGUGUUAACUGUCUUUAUUUUUUUUUUGAACUUAAAUUUUAGGUUAAAAUGCCUAAAUGUUUUUUUGGGACGAGAAGACCCUAUAGAGUUUUAUAUAUUUUUAUUUUUUUGUAUGAAAAUUUCUAAUGUAAAAAUUUAUUUUGUUGGGGUGAUGGAAAGAUUUAAUUAACUCUUUUUAUUUAUUUUAUAUUUAUUUAUAUGUAUUUGAUCCAUUUAUAUUGAUUAUAAGACUAAAUUACC